This is a non-coding RNA of Malus domestica (apple), 1951 nucleotides long. Lineage: Eukaryota; Viridiplantae; Streptophyta; Magnoliopsida; Rosales; Rosaceae. The record is from RefSeq and is a predicted model, not a curated record.
UAUAAAUUAACAGAAAAACUGACGGAGGUUUGACAUUGGAACAAAUUCGUAAGAUGAGGUAUGAAAUUGUCAUUUUAAAAAGAUGAGGCAUGAUAAUGUCGUUUGAUCCAUAAUUGAGGUAGUUUUGUGUAAUUUACCCUAACUCGAUUUCAAUUAGAGAAAGAGGAAGAGAAGAACUGGAUUCAUAUUUGAGGAUUUGGCAUGACUUUGUCUGAAAGAAUUACUGAAAAAGAAGAGUUCAACAAUGAAUACUUUGAGUCUUUGCUCAUGCAGUUCCGACUUUUCUACGAGGGUUGUGCUAUGAAGGGAACCUUUCUGGUCAAUAAAAAGCAGACUAGAACAUUGAUGGAAGCAGCCUUGGGCGAAUAUGCAACUUAAGGAAAAUAGUUUGAAGACUGUAAGGAGCUGUAACUUAUAAAGAAUUUGGUUCAAAUGCUCUCUUCGAGCUCCCCCACUUGCAAGGCAUCUGUAAAAUCAGGGGAUAUACUCAAUUAAUUUAAUUUUUUUUUAUAUAUCUCAAGCCUCUGAUCAUUUUCCUGCAUCAAUGCUUUGUUUAGUUCAUUGAAAUUUUGAGGGGUGAAUUUUGACCUUUUGACCCCAUUUGUGAUGAUCAAGUGCAUAAUUGUGUUUGAUCUAUGUGGGAACCAAGGAACUCAGUUCCCUUUCAUGCUUUGAAUUCACUCUCAGUCUGGAGAUUAUAUAAUCAUUGGGGCAUAGUUGCUUUAUGUUCCCCUCUUCCGUCUCUAGGGUGUAGCUUCUGUCUGGUUAUAUGGGAUUAGAUUUGUGUUAUUAAUGUCAAAUAUUUUGAGUUAAACAUGAUUAUAUUUCUUGGCGUAAGCUUUGGUCUUUCUUCCUUCAUUUCUCAAAAGAGGUUAAUUUUUGCAUUUUGUAGACACAAAGGGGUUUUCAUUGACAUGUCUAGCGUGAUGAAAUCACGUUUUUUGGAUUAUGGUGCUUAUUUUGAUUCUUAUGUGUAACUAUGGGUGAUAUAACAUUAUAGGCUUGAGGUAUAGUGCGUUAUGUAGUCUUUUCCUUCAAGGAUAACUAAGUGCCUCAUAAUAGAUGUAUCCCUUGGUUUGUCAUUUUGUUACUCGAUUACUGAGGUUUAUAUUUUGGUGCCCUAUGCUUGGUUCUACAGUCAAUUUUUGCCAUGAUUUUAGAAACAUUUCUCUAUCUUUGAAGUUUUGAAGUAUUAUUCAACAUAUGUUUGUUAAUUUUAUUUGUUUUUUUGUUUGUUGGGGUUUCUUGCAGCCAGACCAAUGAUAUAUUUCGGAUGAGCAAAGGCUGUUGAAACUAUAAAUUCAUCUCUAACAUGUGCCAAAGAAGUCCCAGCAAAGGCUGGUUAUUGUUUUAAAACAUAAUUUACAUGUUAUUAAUUUUUCUUGAGCAUUAAAUAACAAAGAACUUGCUGACCACACUUAGUGAGAAAAGGCUUUGUUGUUGUUGUUAUUGUUGUAUUAAAUAACAAAGAACACGAGUAAAUUGGACGAAUACGUAAAAUAAUCACUGAUGAGUACCUAAGUAUUAUACUCAGUUCAGUUAUUGCAUCCGCUAUAUUUCUUCCAUAAACAUGAAUUGCAUGUGAGGACAGAAUAUGAGGUUUAAUUCCCCUCUCCUCCAAUAUUGCUUGGGUAAAAACCAUAUAAGCUUGGAAAAAACCAGCAGCCACGACCAAGCUCCCCUCGAUCUCUCUUCCUUCACUUUACUCUUCUUAUUGGGUCGAUGACUCUUGAAAUCAAGUCUACUGAAUGGGAAGGACCUUGCUUUCCAAAAUCAAACUCGACCAAAACCAGCAAGUGCGUCGCAUUGAUGCUACAUUGACGUACCGGGUGUUGGUUAGCCCUUGUCGAUAUUAAAUUGCUUUGGAUGCUCUGCUGGUCAAAAAGAUGAAAUCAGUAGAUGGAGCAAUAAAGUUAAAUUUGUACAGAAAGCGCCUAAGGCCCCGGGGUGG